This 194-nucleotide ribosomal RNA is filed under the name uncultured bacterium. Its description in RNAcentral is "partial 16S ribosomal RNA". It matches the Rfam family "Bacterial small subunit ribosomal RNA", at positions 299 to 518 of the family's 1533-position model. The record is from RNAcentral.
CGCGGCGGGCGGGGCGGGGGCACGGGGGGCCUACGGGAGGCAGCAGUGGGGGAAUAUUGCACAAUGGGGGAAACCCUGAUGCAGCAAUGCCGCGUGAGUGAUGACGGCCUUCGGGUUGUAAAGCUCUGUCUUCAGGGACGAUAAUGACGGUACCUGAGGGAGGAAGCCACGGCUAACUACGUGCCAGCACCCGC